GAUGAACGCUGGCGGCGUGCCUAAUACCUGCAAGUCGAGCGAACGGACGAGAAGCUUGCUUCUCUGAUGUUAGCGGCGGACGGGUGAGUAACACGUGGAUAACCUACCUAUAAGACUGGGAUAACUUCGGGAAACCGGAGCUAAUACCGGAGAAUAUUUUGAACCGAAUGGUUCCAAAGUGACAGACGGUCUUGCUGUCACUUAUAGCUGGAUCCGCGCUGCAUUAGCUAGUUGGUAAGGUAACGGCUUACCAAGGCAACGAUGCAUAGCCGACCUGAGAGGCUGAUCGGCCACCCUGGAACUGAGACACGGUCCAGACUCCUACGAGAAGCAGCAGAAGGGUAUCAUGCGCAAUGGGCGAAAGCAUGGCGGAACAAUGUCACGGGAGUGAUAGAGGUCUGCGGAUCGUAAAACUGUGUUAUUAGCGAAAAACAUGUGUGUAUGGAACUGAGCACAUCUUGACGGUACCGAAUCAGAAAGCCACGGCUAACUACGUG
RNAcentral lists this ribosomal RNA (497 nucleotides) under uncultured bacterium. Its description in RNAcentral is "partial 16S ribosomal RNA". It matches the Rfam family "Bacterial small subunit ribosomal RNA", at positions 28 to 507 of the family's 1533-position model. The record is from RNAcentral.